This 253-nucleotide ribosomal RNA is filed under the name uncultured bacterium. Its description in RNAcentral is "partial 16S ribosomal RNA". It matches the Rfam family "Bacterial small subunit ribosomal RNA", at positions 524 to 776 of the family's 1533-position model. The record is from RNAcentral.
UACAGAGGGUGCGAGCGUUGUCCGGAAUCACUGGGCGUAAAGGGCGCGUAGGUGGCUAGGUAAGCGUGUGGUGAAAGUCCGGGGCUCAACCCCGGAUCUGCCGUGCGAACUGCCAGGCUUGAGCAAUUUAGAGGCAGGUGGAAUUUCGGGUGUAGCGGUGGAAUGCGUAGAUAUCCGAAAGAACACCAGUGGCGAAGGCGGCCUGCUGGGCAUUUGCUGACACUGAGGUGCGAUAGUGUGGGGAGCAAACAGG